GAUGAACGCUGGCGGCGUGCUUAACACAUGCAAGUCGAACGAAGCAAUUUGACGGAAGCCUUCGGGUGGAAGUUGAAUUGACUGAGUGGCGGACGGGUGAGUAACGCGUGGGUAACCUGCCUCAUACAGGGGGAUAACAGCUAGAAAUAGCUGCUAAUACCGCAUAAGCGCACAGUAUCGCAUGAUACAGUGUGAAAAAACUCCGGUGGUAUGAGAUGGACCCGCGUCUGAUUAGCUAGUUGGUGAGGUAAUGGCUCACCAAGGCGACGAUCAGUAGCCGGCCUGAGAGGGUGGACGGCCACAUUGGGACUGAGACACGGCCCAAACUCCUACGGGAGGCAG
Molecule: ribosomal RNA, 342 nt
Filed under: uncultured Bacillota bacterium
Lineage: Bacteria; Bacillati; Bacillota
Description: bacterial SSU rRNA
Rfam family: Bacterial small subunit ribosomal RNA
Source: RNAcentral